This 29-nucleotide non-coding RNA is filed under the name Mus musculus (house mouse). The record is from RNAcentral. Lineage: Eukaryota; Metazoa; Chordata; Mammalia; Rodentia; Muridae.
UAAUUCCUAGAGAGUCAACCACCCUAUAA